RNAcentral lists this ribosomal RNA (793 nucleotides) under uncultured bacterium. Its description in RNAcentral is "bacterial SSU rRNA". It matches the Rfam family "Bacterial small subunit ribosomal RNA", at positions 8 to 796 of the family's 1533-position model. The record is from RNAcentral.
AGAGUUUGAUCAUGGCUCAGGAUGAACGCUAGCGGCAGGCUUAAUACAUGCAAGUCGUGGGGCAGCAUGAGUAGCAAUACUUGAUGGCGACCGGCAAACGGGUGCGGAACACGUACACAACCUUCCUACAAGUGGGGAAUAGCCCAGAGAAAUUUGGAUUAAUACCCCGUAACAUAUAGAUGUGGCAUCACAACUAUAUUAUAGCUUCGGCGCUUGUUGAUGGGUGUGCGGCUGAUUAGAUAGUUGGCGGGGUAACGGCCCACCAAGUCUACGAUCAGUAGCUGAUGUGAGAGCAUGAUCAGCCACACGGGCACUGAGACACGGGCCCGACUCCUACGGGAGGCAGCAGUAAGGAAUAUUGGUCAAUGGACGAAAGUCUGAACCAGCCAUGCCGCGUGAAGGAUUAAGGUCCUCUGGAUUGUAAACUUCUUUUAUCUGGGACGAAAAAAGGCGAUUCUUCGUCACUUGACGGUACCAGAUGAAUAAGCACCGGCUAACUCCGUGCCAGCAGCCGCGGUAAUACGGAGGGUGCAAGCGUUAUCCGGAUUCACUGGGUUUAAAGGGUGCGUAGGCGGGCAGGUAAGUCAGUGGUGAAAUCCUUGAGCUUAACUCGAGAACUGCCAUUGAUACUAUCUGUCUUGAAUAUUGUGGAGGUAAGCGGAAUAUGUCAUGUAGCGGUGAAAUGCUUAGAUAUGACAUAGAACACCUAUUGCGAAGGCAGCUUACUACGCAUAUAUUGACGCUGAGGCACGAAAGCGUGGGGAUCAAACAGGAUUAGAUACCCCCGUAGUCC